GAGUUUGAUCAUGGCUCAGGACGAACGCUGGCGGCGUGCUUAACACAUGCAAGUGGUGCGACGAACCAGGGCUUGCCCUGGGGCAAAGCCGCGAACGGGUGAGUAACACGUGGGUAACCUGCCCCGAUGACCGGGACAACCCGAGGAAACUCGGGCUAAUACCGGAUGUGGCGCACAGGCUUAAGCCUGUUCGCUAAAGGAAGCUUCGGCCUCCGCAUUGGGAGGGGCCCGCGGCCCAUUAGCUUGUUGGUGAGGUAACGGCUCACCAAGGCGUUGACGGGUAGCCGGCCUGAGAGGAUGGCCAGCCACAUUGGGACUGAGACACGGCCCAAACUCCUACGGGAGGCAGCAGUGGGGAAUAUUGGACAAUGGGCGCAAGCCUGAUCCAGCCAUGCCGCGUGAGUGAUGAAGGCCUUAGGGUUGUAAAGCUCUUUUGGCGGGGACGAUAAUGACGGUACCCGCAGAAUAAGCCCCGGCUAACUUCGUGCCAGCAGCCGCGGUA
Molecule: ribosomal RNA, 502 nt
Filed under: uncultured bacterium
Lineage: Bacteria
Description: bacterial SSU rRNA
Rfam family: Bacterial small subunit ribosomal RNA
Source: RNAcentral